RNAcentral lists this ribosomal RNA (433 nucleotides) under uncultured bacterium. RNAcentral's name for it is "partial 16S ribosomal RNA". It matches the Rfam family "Bacterial small subunit ribosomal RNA", at positions 29 to 507 of the family's 1533-position model. The record is from RNAcentral.
AACGAACGCUGGCGGCAUGCCUAACACAUGCCAGUCGAACGAGACCUUCGGGUCUAGUGGCGCACGGGUGCGUAACGCGUGGGAACCUGCCCUUAGGUUCGGAAUAACUCCCCGAAAGGGGUGCUAAUACCGGAUAAUGUCUUCGGACCAAAGAUUUAUCGCCUUUGGAUGGGCCCGCGUUGGAUUAGCUAGUUGGUAGGGUAAAAGCCUACCAAGGCGACGAUCCAUAGCUGGUCUGAGAGGAUGAUCAGCCACACUGGGACUGAGACACGGCCCAGACUCCUACGGGAGGGAGCAGUGGGGAAUAUUGGACAAUGGGCGAAAGCCUGAUCCAGCAAUGCCGCGUGAGUGAUGAAGGCCUUAGGGUUGUAAAGCUCUUUUACCCGGGAUGAUAAUGACAGUACCGGGAGAAUAAGCUCCGGCUAACUCCGUG